This 485-nucleotide ribosomal RNA is filed under the name uncultured bacterium. Its description in RNAcentral is "bacterial SSU rRNA". It matches the Rfam family "Bacterial small subunit ribosomal RNA", at positions 24 to 518 of the family's 1533-position model. The record is from RNAcentral.
UCAGGAUAAACGCUGGCGGCGCACAUAAGACAUGCAAGUCGAACGAACUUAACUCAAUCUUUAGUUGAGAGCGGUUAGUGGCGGACUGGUGAGUAAUACGUAAGCAACCUGCCUAUCAGAGGGGAACAACAGUUAGAAAUGACUGCUAAUACCGCAUAUGCCAUAAUAAUCACAUGAUUAAAGUGGGAAAGGAGCAAUCCGCUGAUAGAUGGGCUUACGGCUGAUUAGCUAGUUGGUAAGGUAACGGCCUACCAAGGCGACGAUCAGUAGCCGGACUGAGAGGUUCAACGGCCACAUUGGGACUGAGAUACGGCCCAGACUCCUACGGGAGGCAGCAGUCGGGAAUUUUGCGCAAUGGAGGAAACUCUGACGCAGUGACGCCGCGUGCAGGAAGAAGGUUUUCGAAUUGUAAACUGCUUUAGACAGGGAAGAAAAAGGACAGUACCUGUAGAAUAAGCUCCGGCUAACUACGUGCCAGCAGCCGC